AUUGAACGCUGGCGGCAGGCCUAACACAUGCAAGUCGAACGAGUGGCGGACGUGUGAGUAAUGUCUGGGAAACUGCUCGAUGGAGGGGGAUAAUUACUGGAAACGGUAGCUAAUACCGCAUACCAUCGGAUGUGCCCAGGUGGGCUUAGCUAGUAGGUGGGGUAACGGCUCACCUUGGCGACGAUCCCUAGAUGGUCUGUGAGGAUGACCAGCAACACUGGAACUGAGAAACGGUCCAGAAUCCUACGGGAGGCAGAAGUGGGGAAUAUUGCACAAUGGGCGCAAGCCUGAUGCAGCAAUGCCGCGUGUAUGAAGAAGGCCUUCGGGUUGUAAAGGACUGUCAGCGAGGAGGCGUUAAUCGCAGAAGAAGCACCGGAUAACUCCGUGCCAGCCGCCGCGGUAAUAC
RNAcentral lists this ribosomal RNA (406 nucleotides) under uncultured bacterium. RNAcentral's name for it is "partial 16S ribosomal RNA". It matches the Rfam family "Bacterial small subunit ribosomal RNA", at positions 30 to 526 of the family's 1533-position model. The record is from RNAcentral.